Long non-coding RNA from Cydia strobilella, 449 nucleotides. RefSeq lists it as uncharacterized. Lineage: Eukaryota; Metazoa; Arthropoda; Insecta; Lepidoptera; Tortricidae. The transcript has 2 exons. The record is from RefSeq and is a predicted model, not a curated record.
CUAUUGCCCAUUAGAUCUGAAAAUAAAUUAAUAAUCGUCAGUCCAAUUGGAGCAGGUAAAUGCCCUGUACGCGGGUUGCGAAGAACAACCAACUUCAACGAUAAUUAAAGAAACAAUUAUGGCGGACAUCGGAGUGAUAAUGUUCAUAGCAACAGCGAUGUACGGAGUUGUAUUAUACAUGUGCGGUAUGCCACGUUCAAAUGAAGUGACGAGUCUUUCAGGCGACCUAACAAUACCCGACCCAGUUCCAUUUUCAGAAUUAUUGGGUAAAUAUGAGAAAGAAAAUUAUACAGUGGACGAUCUGGAGAGGAAACUUGUCAAUCUGAGUUUAAAAUCUACGGAUGAUGAAAUAAUGUCCCUGACAAGCAAAGGUAUAAAUAAAUCCAUUUCCAUAGUUUACGAGGUUAUCAUCUCAUUUUCCAUAAUAAUUUUAGGAUAAAAUAUAAAAU